CUACGGGGGGCUGCAGUGGGGAAUAUUGCACAAUGGGCGCAAGCCUGAUGCAGCCAUGCCGCGUGUAUGAAGAAGGCCUUCGGGUUGUAAAGUACUUUCAGCGGGGAGGAAGGGAGUAAAGUUAAUACCUUUGCUCAUUGACGUUACCCGCAGAAGAAGCACCGGCAACUCCGUGCCAGCAGCCGCGGUAAUACGGAGGGUGCGAGCGUUAAUCGGAAUUACUGGGCGUAAAGCGCACGCAGGCGGUUUGUUAAGUCAGAUGUGAAAUCCCCGGGCUCAACCUGGGAACUGCAUCUGAUACUGGCAAGCUUGAGUCUCGUAGAGGGGGGUAGAAUUCCAGGUGUAGCGGUGAAAUGCGUAGAGAUCUGGAGGAAUACCGGUGGUGAAGGCGGCCCCCUGGACGAAGACUGACGCUCAGGUGCGAAAGCGUGGGGAGCAAACAGGAUUAGAUACCCCGGUAGUC
RNAcentral lists this ribosomal RNA (463 nucleotides) under uncultured bacterium. RNAcentral's name for it is "partial 16S ribosomal RNA". It matches the Rfam family "Bacterial small subunit ribosomal RNA", at positions 339 to 795 of the family's 1533-position model. The record is from RNAcentral.